CGUAGGGGGCAAGCGUUGUCCGGAUUCAUUGGGCGUAAAGAGCGUGUAGGCGGCCAGGUAGGUCGGUUGUGAAAACUGGAGGCUCAACCUUCAGACGUCGACCGAAACCCCCUGGCUAGAGUCCGGGAGAGGAGAGUGGAAUUCCUGGUGUAGCGGUGGAAUGCGCAGAUAUCAGGAAGAACACCCGUGGCGAAAGCGGCUCUCUGGAACGGUACUGACGCUGAGACGCGAAAGCGUGGGGAGCGAACAGGAUUAGAUACCCUGGUAGUCCACGCCGUAAACGAUGGGCGCUAGGUGUGGGAGGUGUCGACUCCUUCCGUGCCGAAGCUAACGCAUUAAGCGCCCCGCCUGGGGAGUACGGCCGCAAGGCUA
Molecule: ribosomal RNA, 372 nt
Filed under: uncultured organism
Description: bacterial SSU rRNA
Rfam family: Bacterial small subunit ribosomal RNA
Source: RNAcentral